UACAGAGGGUGCAAACGUUGCUCGGAAUUAUUGGGCGUAAAGCGCGUGUAGGCGGCUUGUUAAGUCGGUUGUGAAAACCCAUGGCUCAACCAUGGAAGUGCGUCCGAAACUGGCAAGCUGGAGUCCCGAAGAGGAUGGCGGAAUUCCCAGUGUAGAGGUGAAAUUCGUAGAUAUUGGGAGGAACAUCGGUGGCGAAGGCGGCAUCCUGGACCGGCAUUGACGCUGAGGAGCGAAAGCCAGGGGAGCAAACGGG
RNAcentral lists this ribosomal RNA (253 nucleotides) under uncultured bacterium. RNAcentral describes it as "partial 16S ribosomal RNA". It matches the Rfam family "Bacterial small subunit ribosomal RNA", at positions 524 to 776 of the family's 1533-position model. The record is from RNAcentral.